Molecule: ribosomal RNA, 1438 nt
Filed under: uncultured organism
Description: SSU rRNA
Rfam family: Bacterial small subunit ribosomal RNA
Source: RNAcentral
GCUACAGGCUUAACACAUGCAAGUCGAGGGGCAGCAUUUCAGUUUGCUUGCAAACUGGAGAUGGCGACCGGCGCACGGGUGAGUAACACGUAUCCAACCUGCCGAUAACUCGGGGAUAGCCUUUCGAAAGAAAGAUUAAUACCCGAUGGUAUAAUCAGACCGCAUGGUCUUGUUAUUAAAGAAUUUCGGUUAUCGAUGGGGAUGCGUUCCAUUAGGCAGUUGGUGAGGUAACGGCUCACCAAACCUUCGAUGGAUAGGGGUUCUGAGAGGAAGGUCCCCCACAUUGGAACUGAGACACGGUCCAAACUCCUACGGGAGGCAGCAGUAAGGAAUAUUGGUCAAUGGGCGCAGGCCUGAACCAGCCAAGUAGCGUGAAGGAUGACUGCCCUAUGGGUUGUAAACUUCUUUUAUAUGGGAAUAAAGUUUUCCACGUGUGGAAUUUUGUAUGUACCAUAUGAAUAAGGAUCGGCUAACUCCGUGCCAGCAGCCGCGGUAAUACGGAGGAUCCGAGCGUUAUCCGGAUUUAUUGGGUUUAAAGGGAGCGUAGGUGGACAGUUAAGUCAGUUGUGAAAGUUUGCGGCUCAACCGUAAAAUUGCAGUUGAUACUGGCUGUCUUGAGUACAGUAGAGGUGGGCGGAAUUCGUGGUGUAGCGGUGAAAUGCUUAGAUAUCACGAAGAACUCCGAUUGCGAAGGUAGCUCACUGGACUGCAACUGACACUGAUGCUCGAAAGUGUGGGUAUCAAACAGGAUUAGAUACCCUGGUAGUCCACACAGUAAACGAUGAAUACUCGCUGUUUGCGAUAUACAGUAAGCGGCCAAGCGAAAGCAUUAAGUAUUCCACCUGGGGAGUACGCCGGCAACGGUGAAACUCAAAGGAAUUGACGGGGGCCCGCACAAGCGGAGGAACAUGUGGUUUAAUUCGAUGAUACGCGAGGAACCUUACCCGGGCUUAAAUUGCAUUUGAAUAUAUUGGAAACAGUAUAGCCGUAAGGCAAAUGUGAAGGUGCUGCAUGGUUGUCGUCAGCUCGUGCCGUGAGGUGUCGGCUUAAGUGCCAUAACGAGCGCAACCCUUAUCUUUAGUUACUAACAGGUCAUGCUGAGGACUCUAGAGAGACUGCCGUCGUAAGAUGUGAGGAAGGUGGGGAUGACGUCAAAUCAGCACGGCCCUUACGUCCGGGGCUACACACGUGUUACAAUGGGGGUACAGAAGGCAGCUACCUGGUGACAGGAUGCUAAUCCCAAAAGCCUCUCUCAGUUCGGAUCGAAGUCUGCAACCCGACUUCGUGAAGCUGGAUUCGCUAGUAAUCGCGCAUCAGCCAUGGCGCGGUGAAUACGUUCCCGGGCCUUGUACACACCGCCCGUCAAGCCAUGAAAGCCGGGGGUACCUGAAGUACGUAACCGCAAGGAGCGUCCUAGGGUAAACUGGUAAUUGGGGCU